Molecule: long non-coding RNA, 790 nt
Organism: Lathyrus oleraceus (garden pea)
Lineage: Eukaryota; Viridiplantae; Streptophyta; Magnoliopsida; Fabales; Fabaceae
Exons: 2
Source: RefSeq, a predicted model, not a curated record
UUCUUCAAUCUCUAUUGCAACCAAGUUUUCUCAUGUUUAGAGUUCUAGAUCUUUGUUUCUAUGUUCCUCUAUUUGUAUGUAUUUCUUUUCUAAUAUAUUUUUAUGCAUUUCUCAUCUAAAACAUGUUUUCAUAUAUUUGUUUAGAGUUCUAGAUCUGAGUUCAAAAUGAUAUUUCUCCGUGUGUCUUUUCAAGUAAAUCUUUGUCUAAUAUUUUGAAAUGUAUGAGUUUAUUUGAAAAGACAAGUUUAAACUUAUCAUUUAUGUGUUUAUUAUGUAUUAAAAUGAUUGUUUCAAAUGUGUCUUUGAAUAUCUUCAAUUAAUUGAUUUUGAUUAUUCACUUGUGGGUUGAUUUAUGUGUUUAUUAUGUCUUUUGUGGUAAUGGGAAGAAAGAAUGAAUAUUGACCUGUUUGAUACUGUUACGAAAUCGAUCUAUGCAAGUGUGAGAGAGUCAAUCAUUGGUAAAACCAAAACCACCGAGAAGGCAGACCGAAUUAACCGUUGAGCAUCUAUGAGGAGGCAAUGUCAUAACAAAACAUGAAUGUUGGUCUCUGCUAAAAGGUGGCAUAGUUGUAGACUUUUCAAGUCCUGUUGAAAUCUUUUUGAGGUGAAAUGAUUCUUUUUUUGCAUAAUUAGAGAGUUAAACAAAAGGGUGCAAGUGGUUGUAUUUAUGUAUUUAGAUAUUUGUUAAAUAGAAUCAUAUUGGUUGUAGGUAUCAAAUAUUAGUUUUGUUUUGUUCAUAUUUAAGUUAAAAUUGACAUCUUUUAUUUUAAGUAUUAAUUUAAAAUUGAUA